GUUCCCCAUCCUCUUACAGAUCUCACAGCAAGGUCCUGCUUUCAAAGGCAGUUUGGAACAGGAUUCAAUGUCCAAGUCAUGGUACAGCUGAAUGUCUCAGAAAGGGCAAAUCGUGGGGAAGGUGGAGUUUUAAUCCACUUUUGCUGUCAUUAAACAUACAGUCAACAAGCUGUCCAGAGUUAUUGCACAGUUCUUUUAAAUCAAAACAUUACCUUGUCCUCUUAUUAUUAUAGACAUAAUGUUUCUAAAAUUCAGCAAAACCCCCCUACCUGUUUUACUUGCUGGAGGAUAUAUAUGUAUCUUUCUGCAAAGCUCUGUAGUUUUUUUUAACAUUAUGAAAUACUGGACAAAAGGAUGCCUAUGGACCUCCUCUGUGGAGUCAGUCAUCUGUGUGGCAGUAAACGAGGACAGCAGGCUGUACUGCCAGUGAGCACAGCUUAUAUUGGAACGGGGUGCUAUACCAGACAUUCACAUCAAGCUUCACUCGGUGAUGUCACAGCGGUGUUUCAAGAGGUCUUGUCUGCUGAUCUUCAGGGAUCUAUUUAUCUAAAUAAGCUUUGAAAAAAUGCGGUAGCACCACAGCCUUCCCUAAGCACAUAUUGGUUCAAGUAUACCAUCAUACAAAGACAAUGAGGAACAAAUUAACUUCUGGAAUAUUA
Molecule: long non-coding RNA, 659 nt
Organism: Pseudopipra pipra
Lineage: Eukaryota; Metazoa; Chordata; Aves; Passeriformes; Pipridae
Exons: 2
Source: RefSeq, a predicted model, not a curated record